UACGGGGGGGGCGAGCGUUGUUCGGAAUUACUGGGCGUAAAGGGCUCGUAGGCGGCCAACUAAGUCAGACGUGAAAUCCCUCGGCUUAACCGGGGAACUGCGUCUGAUACUGGAUGGCUUGAGUUUGGGAGAGGGAUGCGGAAUUCCAGGUGUAGCGGUGAAAUGCGUAGAUAUCUGGAGGAACACCGGUGGCGAAGGCGGCAUCCUGGACCAACACUGACGCUGAGUGAGCGAAAGCGUGGGGAGCAAACAGG
RNAcentral lists this ribosomal RNA (254 nucleotides) under uncultured bacterium. RNAcentral describes it as "partial 16S ribosomal RNA". It matches the Rfam family "Bacterial small subunit ribosomal RNA", at positions 524 to 776 of the family's 1533-position model. The record is from RNAcentral.